GGUGUGGUACCCAAGUGGCUCAAGGGAAGAGUCUGCAAAACUCUCAUUCGUCAGUUCGAAUCUGACCCACACCU
Molecule: transfer RNA, 74 nt
Filed under: Bacteroidota bacterium
Lineage: Bacteria; Pseudomonadati; Bacteroidota
Also listed under: 1 other name
Description: Bacteroidetes bacterium (activated sludge metagenome) tRNA-Cys
Rfam family: tRNA
About the family: Transfer RNA (tRNA) molecules are approximately 80 nucleotides in length. Their secondary structure includes four short double-helical elements and three loops (D, anti-codon, and T loops). Further hydrogen bonds mediate the characteristic L-shaped molecular structure. tRNAs have two regions of fundamental functional importance: the anti-codon, which is responsible for specific mRNA codon recognition, and the 3' end, to which the tRNAs corresponding amino acid is attached (by aminoacyl-tRNA synthetases). tRNAs cope with the degeneracy of the genetic code in two manners: having more than one tRNA (with a specific anti-codon) for a particular amino acid; and 'wobble' base-pairing, i.e. permitting non-standard base-pairing at the 3rd anti-codon position.
Source: RNAcentral